AAUAAACCCUGAGUUUUCAUGUACAACGUUUGACCGUUCGUCUUAUUUGAAAAAGUUAUGAAAAAAAAUUUAAAAAAGCAAGUCACGCAUAAAAUAUUAAUUAUGUUUUAUCAUCUAACAACAAUAAAAAUACUAAUUAUAAAAAAUUCUAUAUAAGACAGACAGUCAAACGUUAAACACGGAAAUUUAGGGUUUGUUUUUUU
Oryza sativa Japonica Group (Japanese rice) is the source of this 203-nucleotide microRNA precursor. It matches the Rfam family "MIR812 microRNA precursor family". NCBI's taxonomy places the organism in Eukaryota, Viridiplantae, Streptophyta, Magnoliopsida, Poales, Poaceae. The record is from Rfam.